RNAcentral lists this ribosomal RNA (424 nucleotides) under Verrucomicrobiota bacterium. RNAcentral describes it as "Verrucomicrobia bacterium partial 16S ribosomal RNA". It matches the Rfam family "Bacterial small subunit ribosomal RNA", at positions 355 to 776 of the family's 1533-position model. Lineage: Bacteria; Pseudomonadati; Verrucomicrobiota. The record is from RNAcentral.
UGAGGAAUAUUGGUCAAUGGGCGAGAGCCUGAACCAGCCAAGUAGCGUGCAGGAUGACGGCCCUAUGGGUUGUAAACUGCUUUUAUGCGGGGAUAAAGUGUGCGACGUGUCGUGCAUUGCAGGUACCGCAUGAAUAAGGACCGGCUAAUUCCGUUCCAGCAGCCGCGGUAAUACGGAAGGGCCGGGCGUUAUCCGGAUUUAUUGGGUUUAAAGGGAGCGUAGGCCGCCAGAUAAGCGUGUUGUGAAAUGUACCGGCUCAACCGGUGAAUUGCAGCGCGAACUGUUUGGCUUGAGUGCACGGUAAGCAGGCGGAAUUCAUUGUGUAGCGGUGAAAUGCUUAGAUAUCAUGAAGAACUCCGAUUGCGAAGGCAGCUUGCUGCAGUGCGACUGACGCUGAUGCUCGAAGGUGCGGGUAUCAAACAGG